This 405-nucleotide ribosomal RNA is filed under the name uncultured bacterium. Its description in RNAcentral is "partial 16S ribosomal RNA". It matches the Rfam family "Bacterial small subunit ribosomal RNA", at positions 28 to 526 of the family's 1533-position model. The record is from RNAcentral.
GAUGAACGCUGGCGGCGUGCCUAAUACAUGCAAGUCGAGCGAAGUGGGGACGGGUGAGUAACACGUGGAUAACCUCCUAUAAGACGGGGAUAACUUCGGGAAACCGUAGCUAAACCGGAUACUUAUAGUUGGAUCCGCGCGGCAUUAGCUGGUGGGUAAGGUAACGGCUUACAAAGCCAACGAUGCAUAGCGGACCUGGGAGGGUGAUCGGCCACACGGGACUGGGACCACGGUCCAGACCCCUAGGGGAGGAAGAAGUGGGGAAUCUUCCGAAAUGGGCGAAAGCCUGACAGAGCAACGCCGCUGGAGUAAUGAAGGUCUUCGGAUCGUAAAACUCGGUUAUAAGGGAGGCGGUACCUAAUCAGAAAGCCACGGCUAACUACGUGCCAGCAGCCGCGGUAAUUC